GUUCUGUGUGAUUCAAGCUAUGAUUUUGCUGCAGUGCUUACCAUGUUUUACCUUCUCAUUCUGUUGCAGAGCUUGUUUUUCAGUUUGUACAUAUUUUACUGGUUUUCAGUUCUCUUGGGUUUGUUAAUGCUACUAUGAUCCCCAUGGAGGCAUCAAUGAUUAAUUGUGAAGGAUCGGCAAUCAUGAAGAACUUUUAGAGUUAUGGCCAUCAGAAAGAGCUAAAUAAUUUUGGAAAUGGGGAAUGAAAGACCAUUCUGGUUGAUACUUCCUAAUACUUAGUUUAUUCAGUUGGUGGAUGGAUGUUUCAGUUCCUGCUAGCGAUCUAGAAUUAUUCUUCUUCCUCAUAUAGGUGAUUGGUGGGAG
Long non-coding RNA from Lolium perenne, 363 nucleotides. RefSeq lists it as uncharacterized. Lineage: Eukaryota; Viridiplantae; Streptophyta; Magnoliopsida; Poales; Poaceae. The record is from RefSeq and is a predicted model, not a curated record.